RNAcentral lists this long non-coding RNA (410 nucleotides) under Chloebia gouldiae (Gouldian finch). RNAcentral's name for it is "Erythrura gouldiae (Gouldian finch) lncRNA (ENSEGOG00005003889.1)". Lineage: Eukaryota; Metazoa; Chordata; Aves; Passeriformes; Passeridae. The record is from RNAcentral.
GUCAGCAUCACUCAAGCACAUUUUGCUUGCACAUGUCCCUCAUUUCUCCUUUCCUUCCCCCAGGCUUUGGCUGAGCAGUGCAAGAUGGAUCACCAAUAAAAUGGUAUUUUAGGAAAGAAUAUGAGAAGCAAACUCACUGGAUAAAGAGAGCAGAUUCUGCCUCCUGACGAGGCCAAUAUGGAACUGGUUUCUUUCUAGCAGAUGUCCUGCUGGAGUCUGCUGGUGUGAUUCCUGAUGUUCAGGAGCAGCUCUGCCAAAUCCAAUGGAAAUGUUUGCAAAUUAAUGCACAACUCAAUGACAGUAAACACGCCCCUGUCUGGCCUCGUGUAAAUAAAAAUCAGCCUGCAGACUGUAAGUUUCCUCCACUGACUUUGGUUCAGCUCUCACCGGACCAACAAGCUCUGAGAACU